Long non-coding RNA from Pseudophryne corroboree (corroboree frog), 314 nucleotides. RefSeq lists it as uncharacterized. Lineage: Eukaryota; Metazoa; Chordata; Amphibia; Anura; Myobatrachidae. The record is from RefSeq and is a predicted model, not a curated record. The transcript has 3 exons.
UACGCAGUAGUGAAGAAGACAUCCGGUGAGUGUGAGACACCGAGCAGCCAUCCCCGUGUGUCAGGAGGACUGCGCAGGACCCAGAGCCCCAUCACGGUGCCUCCACCUCACUCACUGACACAUGAGACACAUUGACCAGAAUAUCCUGGAACUCCCUAACAAGAUCAUUCAGCUGCUGACUGGAGAGGAGGUGGAGUAUAUAGAGGAACACAGGGGUCUGUACAAGGACGUGAUGAUGGAGAAUCACCGGCCCCUCACAUCACUGGAUGGGCCCAGUAACAGAGAUACCCCAGAGAGAUGUCCCCGUCCUCUGC